This 169-nucleotide non-coding RNA is filed under the name Burkholderia sp. RNAcentral describes it as "FMN sequence". It matches the Rfam family "FMN riboswitch aptamer (RFN element)". Rfam says of the family: The RFN element is a highly conserved domain that is found frequently in the 5'-untranslated regions of prokaryotic mRNAs that encode for flavin mononucleotide (FMN) biosynthesis and transport proteins. Lineage: Bacteria; Pseudomonadati; Pseudomonadota; Betaproteobacteria; Burkholderiales; Burkholderiaceae. The record is from RNAcentral. RNAcentral also lists the same sequence under 1 other name.
ACACGUUCUCGGGGCGGGGUGAAAUUCCCCACCGGCGGUAAUCGUCUUUGCACAAGACGUAGCCCGCGAGCGCUCUGUUUGGGCAGCCACAACGGCAGUUAAACAGAGGUCAGCAGACCCGGUUGGAUUCCGGGGCCGACGGUCAUAGUCCGGAUGAAAGAGAACAGGA